Molecule: ribosomal RNA, 459 nt
Filed under: uncultured bacterium
Lineage: Bacteria
Description: partial 16S ribosomal RNA
Rfam family: Bacterial small subunit ribosomal RNA
Source: RNAcentral
CCUACGGGUGGCAGCAGUGAGGAAUAUUGGUCAAUGGCCGGAAGCCUGAACCAGCCAAGUAGCGUGCAGGAUGAAGGUCCCAAGCGUUGUAAACUUCUUUUGUAAAGGGAUAAAAUCAGGCACGUGAGCCUGACUGAGGGUACUUUACGAAAAAGCAUCGGCUAACUCCGUGCCAGCAGCCGCGGUAAUACGGAGGAUCCGAGCGUUAUCCGGAUUUAUUGGGCUUAAAGGGUGCGUAGGCGGGCUGUUAAGUCAGCGGUAAAAGCGCGGGGCUCAACCCCGCACAGCCGUUGAAACUGGGUGUCUUGAGUUCACGAGAGGUAGGCGGAAUGCGUGGUGUAGCGGUGAAAUGCUUAGAUAUCGCGAAGAACCCCGAUUGCGAAGGCAGCAUACCGGCGGGCGACUGACGCUGAGGCUCGAAAGUGUGGGUAUCAAACAGGAUUAGAUACCCGAGUAGUC